This 497-nucleotide ribosomal RNA is filed under the name uncultured bacterium. Its description in RNAcentral is "partial 16S ribosomal RNA". It matches the Rfam family "Bacterial small subunit ribosomal RNA", at positions 28 to 507 of the family's 1533-position model. The record is from RNAcentral.
GAUGAACGCUGGCGGCGUGCCUAAUACAUGCAAGUCGAGCGAACGGACGAGAAGCUUGCUCCUCUGAUGUUAGCGGCGGACGGGUGAGUAACACGUGGAUAACCUACCUAUAAGACUGGGAUAACUUCGGGAAACCGUAGCUAAUACCGGAUAAUAUAUUGAACCGCAUGGUUCAAAAGUGAAAGACGGUCUUGCUGUCACUUAUAGAUGGAUCCGCGCUGCAUUAGCUAGUUGGUAAGGUAACGGCUUACCAAGGCAACGAUGCAUAGCCGACCUGAGAGGGUGAUCGGCCACACUGGAACUGAGACACGGUCCAGACUCCUACGGGAGGCAGCAGUAGGGAAUCUUCCGCAAUGGGCGAAAGCCUGACGGAGCAACGCCGCGUGAGUGAUGAAGGUCUUCGGAUCGUAAAACUCUGUUAUUAGGGAAGAACAUAUGUGUAAGUAACUGUGCACGUCUUGACGGUACCUAAUCAGAAAGCCACGGCUAACUACGUG